UCGCACGAGUUUAGACUCGUGGCGAAUAGCUCCGUAACACGUGGCCAAACUACCCUCUGGAGCGGGAUAACCUCGGGAAACUGAGGCUAAUACCGCAUACGGCUCUCCGCCUUGAACGGCCUGAGCCGGAAAUGCUCCGGCGCCAGAGGAUGUGGCUGCGGCCGAUUAGGUAGACGGUGGGGUAACGGCCCACCGUGCCGAUAAUCGGUACGGGUUGUGAGAGCAAGAACCCGGAGACGGUAUCUGAGACAAGAUACCGGGCCCUACGGGGCGCAGCAGGCGCGAAACCUUUACACUGCACGCCAGUGCGAUAAGGGGACCCCGAGUGCGAGGGCAUAUAGCCCUCGCUUUUGUACACCGUACUGAGGUGUACGAAUAAGGACUGGGCAAGACCGGUGCCAGCCGCCGCGGUAAUACCGGCAGUCCAAGUGAUGGCCGCUAUUAUUGGGCCUAAAGCGUCCGUAGCCGGCCAGGCAAGUUCGUCGGGAAAUCCACCUGCUCAACAGGUGGGCGUCCGGCGAAAACUGUCUGGCUAGGGACCGGAAGACCCGAGGGGUACGUCCAGGGUAGGAGUGAAAUCCUAUAAUCCUGGACGGACCACCGGUGGCGAAAGCGCCUCGGGAAGACGGAUCCGACGGUGAGGGACGAAAGCUUGGGUCACGAACCGGAUUAGAUACCCGGGUAGUCCAAGCUGUAAACGAUGCUCGCUAGGUGUGGCACAGGCUACGAGCCUGUGCUGUGCCGCAGGGAAGCCGCGAAGCGAGCCGCCUGGGAAGUACGUCUGCAAGGAUGAAACUUAAAGGAAUUGGCGGGGGAGCACUACAACCGGAGGAGCCUGCGGUUUAAUUGGACUCAACGCCGGACAUCUCAC
RNAcentral lists this ribosomal RNA (871 nucleotides) under Halostella sp. RNAcentral's name for it is "bacterial SSU rRNA". It matches the Rfam family "Archaeal small subunit ribosomal RNA", at positions 58 to 930 of the family's 1478-position model. The record is from RNAcentral. Lineage: Archaea; Methanobacteriati; Methanobacteriota; Halobacteria; Halobacteriales; Natronoarchaeaceae.